Lytechinus pictus (painted urchin) is the source of this 1334-nucleotide long non-coding RNA. RefSeq lists it as uncharacterized. The record is from RefSeq and is a predicted model, not a curated record. NCBI's taxonomy places the organism in Eukaryota, Metazoa, Echinodermata, Echinoidea, Temnopleuroida, Toxopneustidae. The transcript has 3 exons.
AUUGCUGAUUGGGCACUGGCCUUUCACUAAUCGCUUUUGCAAUUCUUUAAACCUUUAUUAUUAUUAUUUGCUAACGAAAUUUAUAUGGAAUGUGUUGCAUGACAGAUAACCAACAUGGAGGAAGCCCUUAUCCUAGAAGUGUAGGAAAAUCCAAUCCUGUAUGACAAGAGAUUGGAGAUGUUAAAGGAUACAGAAGUAAAAAAAUUAUGUAUGACAUGACAUUGGGCGUCAGCUUGUAAUCUCAGGUGACGUAGCGAGUUGAGAGACAACUUCCUAAAAACGACAGAAAUGGAGAGGAAGAGUGGUGACGGAUCUCCCUCAAAUGCAGCACGUAAAUACAAGUACAGUGAGGCAAUGGAAUUCCUACUUCCCCACAUACAUAAUCGAGAAACAAGUUUUGGAUCUUGGAUCCUGUGUUUGAUGUGGACACGCCAGGAGAAGCCUGUACCAAACAGGAAGAAACUGAGCAGGAGAAUGGUGACAUCUGUCCACAACGUGGGUCAGGCUUCAUCGUCAUCGUCCUCAGGCACGUCCGCAACAUCAGUCCAGUCUUCAAGUCCCAAAUUCACUUCAAAUCGAGGAGACAAUGUUGCAGUAUUUUCAAAGCAGCGAUAGUCAUGGUGACAACAUAACUGUAGAUCCAUUUUUUUCCAGCUUGUCCCCCAUUGUCCCACACUGUAAAAGUUACCUCAAUGCCAGCUCCAUUGCAAUGCGGUUAAAUGUUGGUCUUCUGAACAUUGAACAUACUACUAUAGGAAUUAAAAGUUCUGUGUCUUCUAAAUCUAAGUCGAUUCCUAUUGAUGUGAUAAACGUCUCACAUGUUACAAUUUAAGAAUCCAAAUAUGUUAAGUAGAUUAAAAAAAAAAAUUAACAGAAAAUGUUCUAACUUGCUAUGCUCCAUCGCUAAAAAGAGAGCUGAUAUCUUAUUCCCUCUGACGUCACUCAAUAUUCAUCUGAUUGUUAGCUAACAAAGGGACAGUCAGUGGUUUGUAGUUUGCCAGAGCUAACAACCUGUUAAUAGUCUCAACAUAAAAGAUGCAAUGUCAGACAUGCAGCAUCACCAACAAAUGGAAAGCGAUGUAUAUAUGAUUACAUCUGAAUGACUUAUGAUAAAUCCAUAUGAAAUAAAUCAUUUGCAGGAAAUCUACAACUUUAAUGACUGAUAUCGUAUUAUAAACAACUACACCAUAAAUGUGCUAUUCUAAUUUCCACUUGAAUUUUUCACUUUAACGUCUCUCAUUGUUACAGUUGCAAGUCAGUCUCAAUUUGCAGAAAUUACGAUUGUAAAGGAUUAUGAUCUUCCUCUUUUGUAGAUCUGGGAAAUAUCGGCUGAA